RNAcentral lists this ribosomal RNA (373 nucleotides) under uncultured organism. RNAcentral's name for it is "partial 16S ribosomal RNA". It matches the Rfam family "Bacterial small subunit ribosomal RNA", at positions 527 to 896 of the family's 1533-position model. The record is from RNAcentral.
GUAGGUGGCAAGCGUUGUCCGGAAUUAUUGGGCGUAAGCGCGCGCAGGCGGUUCUUUAAGUCUGAUGUGAAAGCCCACGGCUCAACCGUGGAGGGUCAUUGGAAACUGGAGAACUUGAGUACAGAAGAGGAAAGCGGAAUUCCACGUGUAGCGGUGAAAUGCGUAGAGAUGUGGAGGAACACCAGUGGCGAAGGCGGCUUUCUGGUCUGUAACUGACGCUGAGGCGCGAAAGCGUGGGGAGCAAACAGGAUUAGAUACCCUGGUAGUCCACGCCGUAAACGAUGAGUGCUAAGUGUUAGGGGGGUUUUCCGCCCCCCUUAGUGCUGCAGCUAACGCAUUAAGCACUCCGCCUGGGAGUACGGCCGCAAGGCUG